Molecule: long non-coding RNA, 287 nt
Filed under: Olea europaea (common olive)
Lineage: Eukaryota; Viridiplantae; Streptophyta; Magnoliopsida; Lamiales; Oleaceae
Description: long non-coding RNA (OEUR_LNC006900)
Source: RNAcentral
CAAAAGUAGAGUAGUAGUCAACAACAAAGUUAUGUGACCAUGUUGACUGUGAUGCUACAUUGUACUAGACUCCUCUUGAUGCAAAGAUUGUCAUUUUGUGUUCAUGAUGAAUCAAAAAAGUCUCCUAAUAGAGGAAAACUAAUUGAGCUACUAAACCGAUAUGCAGCUCGUUGUAAGGAAGUUAAAAGAAAUAUUAUUUAGUAAUGCUCCUAAAAAUGACCAAAUGAUUUCACCAAAUAUCUAAAAUGAUUUGGUUAAUUGCUGUGUCGUAGAGACGACAAUGGCUA